This 486-nucleotide ribosomal RNA is filed under the name uncultured bacterium. Its description in RNAcentral is "partial 16S ribosomal RNA". It matches the Rfam family "Bacterial small subunit ribosomal RNA", at positions 30 to 507 of the family's 1533-position model. The record is from RNAcentral.
AUUGAACGCUGGCGGCAUGCCUUACACAUGCAAGUCGAACGGCAGCACGGGUGCUUGCACCUGGUGGCGAGUGGCGAACGGGUGAGUAAUAAAUCGGAACAUGUCCUGUAGUGGGGGAUAGCCCGGCGAAAGCCGGAUUAAUACCGCAUACGAUCCACGGAUGAAAGCGGGGGACCUUCGGGCCUCGCGCUAUAGGGUUGGCCGAUGGCUGAUUAGCUAGUUGGUGGGGUAAAGGCCUACCAAGGCGACGAUCAGUAGCUGGUCUGAGAGGACGACCAGCCACACUGGGACUGAGACACGGCCCAGACUCCUACGGUAGGCAGCAGUGGGGAAUUUUGGACAAUGGGCGAAAGCCUGAUCCAGCAAUGCCGCGUGUGUGAAGAAGGCCUUCUGGUUGUAAAGCUCUUUUGUCCGGAAAGAAAUCCUUGACUCUAAUACAGUCGGGGGAUGACGGUACCGGAAGAAUAAGCACCGGCUAACUACGUG